UACGUAGGGGGCAAGCGUUGUCCGGAUUUAUUGGGCGUAAAGAGCGUGUAGGCGGUUUGGUAGGUCCGCUGUGAAAACUCGAGGCUCAACCUCGAGACGCCGAUGGAAACCAUUUGGCUAGAGUCCGGAAGAGGAGAGUGGAAUUCCUGGUGUAGCGGUGAAAUGCGCAGAUAUCAGGAAGAACACCCGUGGCUAAGGCGGCUCUCUAGUACGGUACUGACGCUGAGACGCGAAAGCGUGGGGAGCGAACAGG
RNAcentral lists this ribosomal RNA (253 nucleotides) under uncultured bacterium. Its description in RNAcentral is "partial 16S ribosomal RNA". It matches the Rfam family "Bacterial small subunit ribosomal RNA", at positions 524 to 776 of the family's 1533-position model. The record is from RNAcentral.